GCUGCGGUUAGAAAAGACAUUGUUUGUCUGAAGAGACAGGGGUGUGGUGAAAAUACUCUGUGCCAGCCAAGUGAACCAAAACACUCUCUGAAUUACUACACAGGCUGGAAAAUAAAAUUUAACUGACAGAAGAUCUGGACCCAACCUGUGCUAAGAGACAGAGAGAAAAAGAAUACCAGGAAUUGCCAUGUACAGUUGGAGCAUCUGCACUAUGAAAUUCACCCUGAAUGAAUAGACACUCAGAUGUCUUCACUUCCAGCAGAGAAGACACAACUCAGGCUGAAUUAGGCCAUUUGGAGAGGUUUACCAAAAUCUCCAUGGGUUAGAGACACAAAACUCUUCUUUCACACUGGUCUGGACUGAGCACUUGUUCUUCUUAGAGCACUGUGCAAAGAGACAGAGAAAUUCUCCACUCGAAGCGUAAGCAUAUCUGCUGUUAAUGCUGAGGGGAGUUAAGUGUCUGCUUCUACAGGAGAAUACACCCCUGAAG
Molecule: long non-coding RNA, 490 nt
Organism: Zonotrichia leucophrys gambelii
Lineage: Eukaryota; Metazoa; Chordata; Aves; Passeriformes; Passerellidae
Exons: 3
Source: RefSeq, a predicted model, not a curated record